UACAACUUUCAACAACGGAUCUCUUGGCUCUCGCAUCGAUGAAGAACGCAGCGAAAUGCGAUAACUAAUGUGAAUUGCAGAAUUCAGUGAACCAUCGAGUCUUUGAACGCACCUUGCGCCCUUUGGUAUUCCGAAGGGCAUGCCUGUUUGAGUGUCAGU
RNAcentral lists this ribosomal RNA (159 nucleotides) under Hymenopellis furfuracea. RNAcentral's name for it is "5.8S ribosomal RNA". It matches the Rfam family "5.8S ribosomal RNA". Rfam says of the family: 5.8S ribosomal RNA (5.8S rRNA) is a component of the large subunit of the eukaryotic ribosome. Lineage: Eukaryota; Fungi; Basidiomycota; Agaricomycetes; Agaricales; Physalacriaceae. The record is from RNAcentral.